Molecule: ribosomal RNA, 510 nt
Filed under: uncultured bacterium
Lineage: Bacteria
Description: partial 16S ribosomal RNA
Rfam family: Bacterial small subunit ribosomal RNA
Source: RNAcentral
GACGAACGCUGGCGGCGUGCUUAACACAUGCAAGUCGAACGAAGAGCGAUGGAAGCUUGCUUCUAUCAAUCUUAGUGGCGAACGGGUGAGUAACGCGUAAUCAACCUGCCCUUCAGAGGGGGACAACAGUUGGAAACGACUGCUAAUACCGCAUACGAUCUAAUCUCGGCAUCGAGGAUAGAUGAAAGGUGGCCUCUACAUGUAAGCUAUCACUGAAGGAGGGGAUUGCGUCUGAUUAGCUAGUUGGAGGGGUAACGGCCCACCAAGGCGAUGAUCAGUAGCCGGUCUGAGAGGAUGAACGGCCACAUUGGGACUGAGACACGGCCCAGACUCCUACGGGAGGCAGCAGUGGGGAAUCUUCCGCAAGGGACGAAAGUCUGACGGAGCAACGCCGCGUGAGUGAUGACGGCCUUCGGGUUGUAAAGCUCUGUUAAUCGGGACGAAAGGCCUUCUUGCGAACAGUUAGAAGGAUUGACGGUACCGGAAUAGAAAGCCACGGCUAACUACGUG